This is a long non-coding RNA of Polypterus senegalus (gray bichir), 1736 nucleotides long. RefSeq lists it as uncharacterized. Lineage: Eukaryota; Metazoa; Chordata; Cladistia; Polypteriformes; Polypteridae. The transcript has 3 exons. The record is from RefSeq and is a predicted model, not a curated record.
UCUUCAAGCUAUUGGAAAGUAAAUACACAACAUCAUACAGUGAAAUUACAUUCAUCCUAUAUGUCUACUGUCUCUAAAUGAACCUGAGGCACAUCACUGUAUACUUUCAGCAGAGCAUUCCACAGAGUCGCCUUUUUGUAGCAUGCAAAAUAACACAUUUUCAUGUUCUCUUUUAGUAAUGCGAUCAAAGACAUUUCAUUUACAGCACUCUGUUUGAUAAAUAAAACCAGUUAAUCAUUGCAAAUGUGACAGUGCACAAGCACAGCUCUUUAUGAAUGUUCAUGACAAUUUUUUAUGGAAAAAUACCUGGUUUUGCCCAAUGAACAAAGUCAACGACAUAUUCGCAGGGCAUUCAUUUGGAGUUAGAUUCUAACCUAAUUAUUGUCAGUUCUGUUUUGCUUCAAUGUUUGCUGUGUAGUGAGAAGUCAAGCAAAGUGACACAUUUUAUUGGAUAACUAAAAAGAUUACAAUAUACAAGCUUUUGAUGCAACUCAGGCCCCUUCUUCAGUUUGCUGUGUGAAAUGCAACCGAACUAAUCAGAGCCUGAAACAAAGUAAUUAUCUCUUAAUGUGGCACAAAGCAAAUGGACUAUGAUUGUGAAAUCACCUGAAAAAGAUCGGCAAAUGUUUUGAAGUCAAUCAUUCCAGUGUAAGGAAAAUCAUCAACAAGUGGCAUAGAUUUCAAAUGACUGCUCAGCCCCGCAAAUUCAGCCCAAGAGCUAAAGCUGGCACAAAUCAAAGACAGCAGUUCUGCAGAAGAACCUCAUACCAGCUGUGAAGCAUGGUGGUGGAAAUGUUAUAGUUUGGGGUUGCUUUGCUCCCUCUGGGCCUGGACAGCUUGCAGUCAUCGAGUCAACUCUGAAUUUUGCAUCAUAUCAAACUGUGCUUGAGGAGAAUGUUAGACCAUCUGCCUAAGUCAAAGUGGAAUUGAACUGGAAAUGAACAUUCCAGCAUGAUCCAAAGCACACUAGCAAAUCCAACAAGGAAUGACCCGGAAAGAGGAACUGGACAGUAUAACACCUUCAUUUGUAGGCACUAUUUUCAUGAACAUCUACUGUUUACCUGUUCAAAUAUGGUGAAAAAUGUCAACAGUUUUUGGGGUGUACUGUAAUUACUCAGGCCGGUGAAAAAUAGCACCACGCACAAACACUAUCGAGCAGUAACAGUCGGAAAACAAACCACAAGAACUGACAGACAGCUACAGAUACCCAUCAAAUGAAAGAAUUCCUUGCAGAGUGAGACUUGCCAAAAUCAAGUGAAAAGGCAGCUGAUAAAUAACAGGAAUGAAAAGUUUCAAAGUGAGGGAGAAUAACAGUGUGACAGGAAAAUGGGGAGCAUCCUGCAGGACAGCCCAGGAAAAACAAGGGGCGGUGGUUCUGCCCUCACUGGGAUCAAUAAGACUACAACCACAGACGAAUGGCUGGCAGCAGAUUUUGAAAAGAUGAGGGUACCUACAUAUUUUAUGAAGGUUAUUGGUGGCUCGAGUGUAUCCUGACAUCUAUGGACAAUGAAGCAAAAGCCUGCCCUGGAUAGACAUCAUAGCACAUACUCCCCCACUCACACAUUCCUGUGUGUAAUGGAGGUUCACCAGUCAGCUUGUCUUUAGACAAUGGAAGAAAAACAGGGAAAACUCACAGAAGCAUUGCCAGAUUGUACAGAUGUGCUGCCAAAGAAGAUGUCUUCUGCAAUUGCAGGAGGGGACAUGGAAGCUGAGGAAGUGUUGGAGUACUCUCGAGA